UAAUGAACCAAGCCCCCUUGAUUGCUGAUUUUACGCUUUCUGGACCAAUUGUGGGCCUCCAUAGGCGUGGUUUUGACAGCUCCGGCCAGGCUCAAGUAGAGGGGGUGGACAAGAAGGUGUCGGAAGCAUUAGCAGUAAGAAAACAUGUCAACAGAAUAAAAUAUUAACCAAUGACAGAAAAGAUCGGGAAAUCCCACCCCCCGUCUCCACGCCAAGCACCGGGUCAGCCCUCAGUGCUUAGCCGGUGGUGACUGCACCUCGGUCGGCUUACGCUUUAUAAUUACGAUCCCUCCUUGUUCGAGGAACAAACUCACUCUUCGAUACACUGAAAACUAGGAAUUAAGAUUAUUCACGUGUAAAUUAACAAAGGUGCGAAUUGUUAUGAAUAAUAAGCGCAAAAUAUUAUAUUGCUUUCCACAUUUUAAAACAUAAAUUGAGGAUAACUAUUCGCAAUAUAGUCACUAAAAAUAUCAGGAACACUCCAAAUGACGUUUAUCUUUUCGCUAUUCAUGUCAAAAUGACGCGUACGAGUAUUUUGUUCAUAAUGUAGCACUGCACACUCAUAUCCAAAGGACCUUGUUGUGCGUAUGAAUUGAAUUCAACGUUUCACUGUGUGAAUAACUAUUUCCGUGCUGCUUGCGCGUGUCCCGACCGACUUCAUGUGAGGAACAGCAGCCAAAAAUCGGACAUUGGCACUUUAAAUUCUGCCCCGGGUCAUUCAAAGCGCACAGCCACGCUCAAUGCUGAAGAAAGGAGGAAGAGAGUUGAUGGAAUCUAAAGACCAAUGUAAAGAUAAUUUUGGAUGUCGCUCCAGUGAUAAAGUGGCACUGGUGAUCUGGAAGGAGACGGAGAGAAACGAGGGCUGACCUUCCCAGAUGGAGAGUGUGAGCUCUGCCACUGUCCUCCACACCAACUAGAUGACUGCUUCACGUCGCCUUUGAGACACUGUGUGCAGCAUUACUGUAUAAGGGUGAUUGUGUGUGUGUGUAAGGUGGAAGUGUUGCUGGUGAGGAUGGAAGAGUGAAAAAUAUUACCUUUUGCUUCUUUGCAUGCAACCACAUUACUGCUUGUCUGACUCUACACAAUAAAAAUCACUAUGAUAAUUUCUUUUUUGUGUGAUUUUGUCUGUGUACUGCAUCGGGUCAAGUUGCAUAAUAAAUUGACACUUUAUAUACA
Cyprinus carpio (common carp) is the source of this 1176-nucleotide long non-coding RNA. RefSeq lists it as uncharacterized. The record is from RefSeq and is a predicted model, not a curated record. NCBI's taxonomy places the organism in Eukaryota, Metazoa, Chordata, Actinopteri, Cypriniformes, Cyprinidae.